This 956-nucleotide unclassified non-coding RNA is filed under the name Bradyrhizobium sp. RSA3. RNAcentral's name for it is "partial 16S-23S ribosomal RNA intergenic spacer". The stretch from base 188 to 261 matches the Rfam family "tRNA". Lineage: Bacteria; Pseudomonadati; Pseudomonadota; Alphaproteobacteria; Hyphomicrobiales; Nitrobacteraceae. The record is from RNAcentral.
CUGCUAUCUAUCGGAUCGUUUUAGAAACAUCAGUGGCCAACGAUCGUCAGGAUUGUUGAGCUGCAUUGGCGGGAUUUCGCCGUCUACGUUUCUCUUUCUUCGCGGACGAACACGCGCCAGGGGCUUAGCGCUUGUGCGAUGCAUCUGGCGUGAGCCGGCUGCGCGCCAUUGCGGCCCCUCGUGUUAGGGGCUUGUAGCUCAGUUGGUUAGAGCGCGCGCUUGAUAAGCGUGAGGUCGGAAGUUCAAGUCUUCCCAGGCCCACCAGCCUUCGCUGCUACGCAGCUUCGGCUCGGCGGGCCUUCCUUGAACGAAGGCUGCUGCGCCGUAGCGCAAGCGAAGGCGAGCGCGCAUGAAGCGCGCUUAAGACCCAUUCGUCUUCUGGUACGGGGCCAUAGCUCAGCUGGGAGAGCGCGUGCUUUGCAAGCAUGAGGUCGUCGGUUCGAUCCCGUCUGGCUCCACCAGAUGGAAUUGAAGAUCGACAGUGUGCCCUGCUAACAAAGCGCCUUUCAUAAUCGUCCGCGAAACAUCACUUCGCACGCGCUGUCCGGAUGGACAGCGACGUGCGUGAUAUCUGACAUCGUAAAGAGGAGAUCGAUCCGAGUUUGGGAUCUGCAAAGCAAUUUGCGGAAUCUCAUUCCUAAUCUCCAGAUCAUUUCGGCGCUUUCUCAUCGCAAGAUGAGGGAGUUGUGAAUGAUCUUUGUAGCGAAGCUUGACCGCCUCGCUAUCGGUUCGGUCUUACGAAGCAAGCUGGUCUUUCUAAUCAGUGUCCAGCCGCAUGCAGCAUUCAUCGAGGGUGCGCGCCUUUUGACUUCGGUUUUGAGGCAAGUGUGCGGACAACAUUCUGCCGAGUGUGUGGACAUUGAUAAUGAGAGCAAUCAAGUGCCUUAAGGGUGUUCGGUGGAUGCCUUGGCGCUGAGAGGCGAUGAAGGACGUGCUACGCUGCGAUAAGCUGGGAG